UCCCUGGUGGCUCAGACGGUAAAGCGUCUGCCUGCAAUGCAGGAGACCUGGGUUCGAUUCCUGGGUUGGGAA
Molecule: non-coding RNA, 72 nt
Organism: Bos taurus (domestic cattle)
Lineage: Eukaryota; Metazoa; Chordata; Mammalia; Artiodactyla; Bovidae
Source: Rfam